UUCUAGUGUGAGUGGAACCCCUGUUGGGGUCUGCAUCUAGGUGGAUGAAGCAACCAAACAAGAACACAGGGGACACAAACAAGGGCAGAGAGGCCUCUGGGCACCAU
Small nucleolar RNA from Papio anubis (olive baboon), 107 nucleotides. Lineage: Eukaryota; Metazoa; Chordata; Mammalia; Primates; Cercopithecidae. The record is from Ensembl.